This 364-nucleotide ribosomal RNA is filed under the name uncultured soil bacterium. Its description in RNAcentral is "bacterial SSU rRNA". It matches the Rfam family "Bacterial small subunit ribosomal RNA", at positions 26 to 394 of the family's 1533-position model. The record is from RNAcentral.
AGAUUGAACGCUAGCGGGAUGCUUUACACAUGCAAGUCGAACGGCAGCGCGGACUUCGGUCUGGCGGCGAGUGGCGAGCGGGUGAGUAAUAUAUCGGAACGUGCCCAGUAGCGGGGGAUAACUACGCGAAAGCGUGGCUAAUACCGCAUACGCCCUACGGGGGAAAGGGGGGAUCGCAAGACCUCUCACUAUUGGAGCGGCCGAUAUCAGAUUAGCUAGUUGGUGAGGUAAAGGCUCACCAAGGCGACGAUCUGUAGCUGGUUUGAGAGGACGACCAGCCACACUGGGACUGAGACACGGCCCCAGACUCCUACGGGAGGCAGCAGUGGGAAUUUGGACAAUGGGGGAAACCCUGAUCCAGCCA